UGAAAUGCGCAAUAUAAAACUGCACACGAAUCUUCUUCGCAUAGGUGCGCAUUGUUUCCUUCGGACUCAUACUUUCACCCUGCAUGUGAUGGAGGCCCCAUAGUGCGAAGGUCAUCAGUCAGCGUAACGGGAGUGGAAAAACAGCGGCGUCACCGAAAAACUCGGGCAAGUAUUGAAACGUGGAGACGUGCCAAUUGAACGAGGAGAUUUUUGGCCAUCGGCAAUGUUUUGGCUAAAAUGUGUCGCGGUGUGCGCGGCACUUCUGAGAGUUCAUUGCUACAUCCCGUACUCCAGCAACCGUUGCACAGAAGAACAUGAGGAUAUAUACAUCUUUCCAAAUUACGGUGGCGGCGACCAGCCGAAGCCACCUGAAAUUGGCCACAGCUACAUCGCGAAGUACGAAAUGACCAGCAUCGACUGCCAACCACCCAGCGUGGGUUGAAGAGUACUUUGACUACAAGGGAAAGAGAGCGAAAAUAUUAGCGUCUGUUCUAGGGGUAGAGUUUGUCGACAUCUAUGAUUACGGCAGAGGGACUGUCACGUCGUAUCGACUAUCCAGAGCAGAGAGCAGUGGUUGGAGCUCGAAGAUUGAAGACACCUGCGAGACAGUUGAAAUGACAAAGUUCAAGCCGGCGUUUCCGAUUUUGUCGUACCCUUACUCUAGGAAAGCUAAAUCUGGUCCACAGCCUAUGGCCACGUCCAACCGAGCAUUGAAGUACGGCCCUCCGUACAACUAUACUUACCUGGAGAACUACAUUGGCAAAGAGAACCGAAACAUACAAUCAGACGUUUUCAGAGGCUGCAUAAAUGAGGAACACCUGAAUUAUUCCCUUCGCUCAAACUUCUAUUGGG
This is a long non-coding RNA of Dermacentor silvarum, 852 nucleotides long. RefSeq lists it as uncharacterized. The transcript has 5 exons. The record is from RefSeq and is a predicted model, not a curated record. NCBI's taxonomy places the organism in Eukaryota, Metazoa, Arthropoda, Arachnida, Ixodida, Ixodidae.